CCUACGGGAGGCUGCAGUGAGGAAUAUUGGUCAAUGGACGAGAGUCUGAACCAGCCAAGUAGCGUGAAGGAUGACUGCCCUAUGGGUUGUAAACUUCUUUUAUAUGGGAAUAAAAUGUUCCACGUGUGGGAUUUUGUAUGUACCUUAUGAAUAAGGAUCGGCUAACUCCGUGCCAGCAGCCGCGGUAAUACGGAGGAUCCGAGCGUUAUCCGGAUUUAUUGGGUUUAAAGGGAGCGUAGGUGGAUUGUUAAGUCAGUUGUGAAAGUUUGCGGCUCAACCGUAAAAUUGCAGUUGAAACUGGCAGGCUUGAGUACAGUAGAGGUGGGCGGAAUGCGUGGUGUAGCGGUGAAAUGCUUAGAUAUCACGAAGAACUCCGAUUGCGAAGGCAGCUCACUGGACUGUAACUGACACUGAGGCUCGAAAGUGUGGGUAUCAAACAGGAUUAGAUACCCCAGUAGUC
Molecule: ribosomal RNA, 460 nt
Filed under: uncultured bacterium
Lineage: Bacteria
Description: partial 16S ribosomal RNA
Rfam family: Bacterial small subunit ribosomal RNA
Source: RNAcentral